CAGUAGCCGCGGGAAUACGUAGGGCGCAAGCGUUAUCCGGAAUUAUUGGGCGUAAGGAGCUCGUAGGCGGUUUGUCGCGUCUGCCGUGAAAGUCCGGGGCUCAACCCCGGAUCUGCGGUGGGUACGGGCAGACUAGAGUGAUGUAGGGGAGACUGGAAUUCCUGGUGUAGCGGUGAAAUGCGCAGAUAUCAGGAGGAACACCGAUGGCGAAGGCAGGUCUCUGGGCAUUAACUGACGCUGAGGAGCGAAAGCAUGGGGAGCGAACAGGAUUAGAUACCCGUGUAGUCCCUGUCUCUUAUAA
RNAcentral lists this ribosomal RNA (301 nucleotides) under uncultured bacterium. RNAcentral's name for it is "partial 16S ribosomal RNA". It matches the Rfam family "Bacterial small subunit ribosomal RNA", at positions 509 to 809 of the family's 1533-position model. The record is from RNAcentral.